CUCAGAGAUUGAAGUUUGUCGGAAUCCAGAACGGGGGCAAACUGAGCCCCUCCAGCUAGCUGCCUUUGAAGGCGGGCAACCUCGUCGAUCGCCAUCCUGAGCUUCCCCCUAUAUUCAUCCACCUGCCUGCGCCAGCCGGCCCGGUAUGCGUCAUAGCUCAUCUCGGCAUCCUGGAGCUGCUGCUGAAGGUCGGAGACCUUCUUCGACC
This 208-nucleotide long non-coding RNA is filed under the name Elaeis guineensis (African oil palm). RNAcentral describes it as "long non-coding RNA (EGUI_LNC010223)". The record is from RNAcentral. Lineage: Eukaryota; Viridiplantae; Streptophyta; Magnoliopsida; Arecales; Arecaceae.